AGCUCCAGUGGCGUAUAUUAAUGCUGCUGCAGUUAAAAAGCUCGUAGUUGUAUCUAAGGCGUAUGCUAACGGUCCCUCGCAAGGGGUGCACUGUUUGUUCAUAGCCUCCCUCGCGGCUUGCGCCCGGUUCUCUUAACUGAGUGCCGGGUGCGGCCGGAACGUUUACUUUGAAAAAAUUGGAGUGUUCAAAGCAGGCGCAACAGCCUGAACAGCAGAGCAUGGAAUAAUGGAAUAGGACCUCGGUUCUAUUGCGUUGGUUUUAAGAGUCCGAGGUAAUGAUUGAGAGGGACUGACGGGGGCAUUCGUAUUGCGGUGUGAGAGGUGAAAUUCUUGGAUCGCCGCAAGACGACCGACAGCGAAAGCAUUUGCCAAGAAUGUCUUCAUUAAUCAAGAACGAAAG
RNAcentral lists this ribosomal RNA (400 nucleotides) under phytoplankton environmental sample. RNAcentral's name for it is "partial small subunit ribosomal RNA". It matches the Rfam family "Eukaryotic small subunit ribosomal RNA", at positions 587 to 989 of the family's 1831-position model. The record is from RNAcentral.